ACGCUGGCGGCGUGCUUAAGUCAUGCAAGUCGAACGAUGAACCGGCUUCGGUCGGGGAUUAGUGGCGAACGGGUGAGUAACACGUGGGCAAUCACCCCUUCACUCUGGGACAAGCCCUGGAAACGGGGUCUAAUACCGGAUAUGACACGGGGUCGCAUGAUCUCCGUGUGGAAAGCUCCGGCGGUGAAGGAUGAGCCCGCGGCCUAUCAGCUUGUUGGUGAGGUAAUGGCUCACCAAGGCGACGACGGGUAGCCGGCCUGAGAGGGCGACCGGCCACACUGGGACUGAGACACGGCCCAGACUCCUACGGGAGGCAGCAGUGGGGAAUAUUGCACAAUGGGCGAAAGCCUGAUGCAGCGACGCCGCGUGAGGGAUGACGGCCUUCGGGUUGUAAACCUCUUUCAGCAGGGAAGAAGCGAGAGUGACGGUACCUGCAGAAGAAGCGCCGGCUAACUACGUGCCAGCAGCCGCGGUAAUACGUAGGGCGCGAGCGUUGUCCGGAAUUAUUGGGCGUAAAGAGCUCGUAGGCGGCUUGUCGCGUCGGAUGUGAAAGCCCGGGGCUUAACCCCGGGUCUGCAUUCGAUACGGGCAGGCUAGAGUUCGGUAGGGGAGAUCGGAAUUCCUGGUGUAGCGGUGAAAUGCGCAGAUAUCAGGAGGAACACCGGUGGCGAAGGCGGAUCUCUGGGCCGAUACUGACGCUGAGGAGCGAAAGCGUGGGGAGCGAACAGGAUUAGAUACCCUGGUAGUCCACGCCGUAAACGUUGGGAACUAGGUGUGGGCGACAUUCCACGUCGUCCGUGCCGCAGCUAACGCAUUAAGUUCCCCGCCUGGGGAGUACGGCCGCAAGGCUAAAACUCAAACCUAUUGACGGGGGCCCGCACAAGCAGCGGAGCAUGUGGCAAUUUUCGACGCAACGCGAAGAACCUUACCAAGGCUUGACAUACACCGGAAAGCAUUAGAGAUAGUGCCGGGGUUGUGGUCGGUGUACAGGUGGUGCAUGGCUGUCGUCAGCUCGUGUCGUGAGAUGUUGGGUUAAGUCCCGCAACGAGCGCAACCCUUGUUCUGUGUUGCCAGCAUGCCUUUCGGGGUGAUCCCCACUCACAGGAGACUGCCGGGGUCAACUCGGAGGAAGGUGGGGACGACGUCAAGUCAUCAUGCGGGUUAUGUCUUGGGCUGCACACGUGCUACAAUGGCCGGUACAAUGAGCUGCG
RNAcentral lists this ribosomal RNA (1211 nucleotides) under Streptomyces noursei. RNAcentral's name for it is "bacterial SSU rRNA". It matches the Rfam family "Bacterial small subunit ribosomal RNA", at positions 33 to 1251 of the family's 1533-position model. The record is from RNAcentral. Lineage: Bacteria; Bacillati; Actinomycetota; Actinomycetes; Kitasatosporales; Streptomycetaceae.